Molecule: long non-coding RNA, 1127 nt
Organism: Prunus dulcis (almond)
Lineage: Eukaryota; Viridiplantae; Streptophyta; Magnoliopsida; Rosales; Rosaceae
Exons: 8
Source: RefSeq, a predicted model, not a curated record
AGAGGGUUUGGUUCGCAGAGACAGAGGCUUGCCUUCAGUUCGUUUCCAACCAGCUGGUUGGGGGGCAGCCAUGGAAGAUCUGCACGUGCAUGGGGAGCCGUCGAUUUUUGUUUGGGAGGUGCACGGGUUUGUGCCCCUGCUUGACUGGUUGCUCUCUUAGUUAUGUUCCUUAAUGAAGAUGCAUAAGGUUCAGCCAUCUCAUCUGCUCCCCCGGCGAAUUCAUCUCAUCUCAUCUGCUCUUCGUGGUUCAGCCAUCUUUCCAGCUGCGCUUCAUCCUUCUUCUCUUCGCACGGGUUUAGCUCAAAGAGAUUUCUAGGUUUCGUAAAAAAGGGAGGAAGAUCUAAGGAAAAAGAACUGGAGUAAUCAAUUUGAGAACCCCCAGUCUGCUCAUCAAUCUGAUACAAUUUUUGCUGCUGAUCUUGGUGAGGAGCUUGGCUUUUGCAUGAGUGCUGUCUAACUACUUUUGGACUGUUUGAUAGCUCUUCCCAUUGCUGUUAGGCAACAGUUUCCACCAGUACCAGGUUGUUUGGAGGAAGCUCCCUACGGCAUUUGAUGAGCUCCCUCAGAUUUACGGAAUGAAGCUCUGGGCAUAAUCGUUCAGCUCAGCUUAUGUGAUCCGAAAUCUUCAUCGGUGAAUUUUGCAUUAGACUUAAUAUUGUGGUAAGUGCUUGCCAUUAAUGAGGUUACAGUCCAUAUACCAUGAAGAGGGCAUUUCCAUGGGAUGAGCAGGUUGAUGUUAUAUCAUCAGAUGACUCUUCUUCCUCAGAUAUGGAGAUGGAAACCAAUAUUGAGUCUGAUAGCAAGCAGUUAACCAAUAAUACCACAUCUGAUCAACCUGCCAAAGAACGAACAUCCGAAGCUGUUGAAAGGUUUGCUCAUGAGGACAAGGGCGAUUUUGCAACUUCACUAAAGCAUUUUAGAGUCAAAACCUCUACAGAGGAGUAGAAAGAAUGUAAGCCACCUGUACAGCAGAGCUAGCAAGACCUAGAUCCCCUUCCACCACCCAGUACCAUAUAUAUAAACACCUGCCCAAACUCUUUUGAACAAUGAGCAACUAAAGGUUGCCCAUAUUUUGAUGUUUUUAUAACUGCUUGAUCUAUUAAAAUAUGCCCAAUAUUUUCACAUAA